AGCAGCCGCGGUAAUUCCAGCUCCAAUAGCGUAUAUUAAAGUUGUUGCAGUUAAAAAGCUCGUAGUUGAAUUUCGGGAUCAAUACGUCGGUCGUGCUUCGGUACGUACUGGCGUCAUUGAUUUCUCCCUUCUGACGAACCAUGAUGUCAUUAACUUGGUGUCAUGGGAAAUCAGGACUGUUACUUUGAAAAAAUUAGAGUGUUUAAAGCAGGCUCACGCUUGAAUACAUUAGCAUGGAAUAAUGAAAUAGGACGUUCGAACCUAUUUUGUUGGUUUCUAGGAUCAACGUAAUGAUUAAUAGGGAUAGUUGGGGCAUUAGUAUUCAAUUGUCAGAGGUGAAAUUCUUGGAUUUAUUGAAGACUAACUACUGCGAAAGCAUUUGCCAAGGAUGUUUUCAUUAAUCAAGAACGAAAGUUGGGAUCGAAGACGAUCAGAUACCGUCGUAGUCUUAACCAUAAACUAUGCCGACUAGGGAUCGGAUGAUGUUAAUUAUUUAAUGUACUNAUUCGGCGUACCG
Molecule: ribosomal RNA, 517 nt
Filed under: uncultured Glomus
Lineage: Eukaryota; Fungi; Glomeromycota; Glomeromycetes; Glomerales; Glomeraceae
Description: SSU rRNA
Rfam family: Eukaryotic small subunit ribosomal RNA
Source: RNAcentral